CUAGUGAUUAGAGUUUGAUCAUGGCUCAGGACGAACGCUGGCGGCGUGCCUAAUACAUGCAAGUCGAACGAGGUUUUAUCAGUUCGCGGUGGUGCUUGCACUACCAACUACAGAUAACACCGAGUGGCGGACGGGUGAGUAACACGUGGGUAACCUGCCCUUUAGCUGGGGAUAACAUUUGGAAACAGAUGCUAAUACCGAAUAACCACGGAGACCGCAUGGUCUCCGGGUAAAAGGCGGCGUAAGCUGUCACUAAAGGAUGGACCCGCGGCGUAUUAGCCAGUUGGUGAGGUAACGGCCCACCAAAGCAAUGAUACGUAGCCGACCUGAGAGGGUAAUCGGCCACAUUGGGACUGAGACACGGCCCAAACUCCUACGGAGGCAGCAGUAGGGAAUCUUCCACAAUGGACGCAAGUCUGAUGGAGCAACGCCGCGUGAGUGAAGAAGGCUUUCGGGUCGUAAAACUCUGUUAUUGAAGAAGAACGUGUGGGAUAGUAACUGAUCUCGCAGUGACGGUAUUCAAUCAGAAAGUCACGGCUAACUACGUGCCAGCAGCCGCGGUAAUACGUAGGUGGCAAGCGUUGUCCGGAUUUAUUGGGCGUAAAGCGAGUGCAGGCGGUCUUUUAAGUCUGAUGUGAAAGCCUUCGGCUUAACCGAAGAAGGGCAUCGGAAACUGGAAGACUUGAGUGCAGCAGAGGAGAGUGGAACUCCAUGUGUAGCGGUGAAAUGCGUAGAUAUAUGGAAGAACACCAGUGGCGAAGGCGGCUCUCUGGUCUGUAACUGACGCUGAGGCUCGAAAGCGUGGGUAGCAAACAGGAUUAGAUACCCUGGUAGUCCACGCCGUAAACGAUGAAUACUAAGUGUUGGAGGGUUUCCGCCCUUCAGUGCUGCAGCUAACGCAUUAAGUAUUCCGCCUGGGGAGUACGACCGCAAGGUUGAAACUCAAAGGAAUUGACGGGGGCCCGCACAAGCGGUGGAGCAUGUGGUUUAAUUCGAAGCAACGCGAAGAACCUUACUAGGUCUUGACAUCUUCUGCCAGGCUGAGAGAUCAGCUGUUCCCUUCGGGGACAGAAUGACAGGUGUGCAUGGUUGUCGUCAGCUCGUGUCGUGAGAUGUUGGGUUAAGUCCCGCAACGAGCGCAACCCUUAUGUUCAGUUGCCAGCAUUCAGUUGGGCACUCUGGACAGACUGCCGGUGACAAACCGGAGGAAGGCGGGGAUGACGUCAAAUCAUCAUGCCCCUUAUGACCUGGGCUACACACGUGCUACAAUGGGUGGUACAACGAGCAGCGAGACCGCGAGGUCAAGCGAAUCUCUAAAAACCAUCCUCAGUUCGGAUUGCAGGCUGCAACUCGCCUGCAUGAAGCUGGAAUCGCUAGUAAUCGCGGAUCAGCACGCCGCGGUGAAUACGUUCCCGGGCCUUGUACACACCGCCCGUCACACCAUGAGAGUUUGUAACACCCAAAGCCGGUGGGACAACCGUAAGGAGUCAGCCGUCUAAGGUGGGACAAAUGAUUAGGGUGAAGUCGUAACAAGGUAACCCU
This 1542-nucleotide ribosomal RNA is filed under the name Schleiferilactobacillus shenzhenensis. RNAcentral's name for it is "Lactobacillus shenzhenensis 16S ribosomal RNA". It matches the Rfam family "Bacterial small subunit ribosomal RNA". Lineage: Bacteria; Bacillati; Bacillota; Bacilli; Lactobacillales; Lactobacillaceae. The record is from RNAcentral.